GGAGGUAUAGCUCAGGCGGAAGAGCGCUUGCGUAGUAGGCAAGAGGCCAUCGGUUCGAUCCCGAUUACCUCCACCA
This 76-nucleotide transfer RNA is filed under the name Betaproteobacteria bacterium. RNAcentral's name for it is "tRNA-Thr". It matches the Rfam family "tRNA". Rfam says of the family: Transfer RNA (tRNA) molecules are approximately 80 nucleotides in length. Their secondary structure includes four short double-helical elements and three loops (D, anti-codon, and T loops). Further hydrogen bonds mediate the characteristic L-shaped molecular structure. tRNAs have two regions of fundamental functional importance: the anti-codon, which is responsible for specific mRNA codon recognition, and the 3' end, to which the tRNAs corresponding amino acid is attached (by aminoacyl-tRNA synthetases). tRNAs cope with the degeneracy of the genetic code in two manners: having more than one tRNA (with a specific anti-codon) for a particular amino acid; and 'wobble' base-pairing, i.e. permitting non-standard base-pairing at the 3rd anti-codon position. Lineage: Bacteria; Pseudomonadati; Pseudomonadota; Betaproteobacteria. The record is from RNAcentral.